AUUUUUACAAUGAAGAGUUUGAUCCUGGCUCAGGAUGAACGCUAGCGGCAGGCUUAACACAUGCAAGUCGAGGGGCA
Molecule: ribosomal RNA, 77 nt
Filed under: Bacteroidetes bacterium GWE2_39_28
Lineage: Bacteria; Pseudomonadati; Bacteroidota
Description: partial 16S ribosomal RNA
Rfam family: Bacterial small subunit ribosomal RNA
Source: RNAcentral